Molecule: non-coding RNA, 7166 nt
Organism: Chiloscyllium plagiosum (whitespotted bambooshark)
Lineage: Eukaryota; Metazoa; Chordata; Chondrichthyes; Orectolobiformes; Hemiscylliidae
Source: RefSeq, a predicted model, not a curated record
AGACAAAGCCAGCCUUGACAGAAUGACUGGCGAUCACUUCAAACCUGCCGCCUUUGCAGGGAAAUAUAUUCUGCCGAUUGAAAAAGGAACGGUACCACCCCUUUAAGGCACACGUCAAGAAAACUGAAUGCAAAAUAUUUGUGGAGAGAGAGAGAGAGCAGGCGGCAUUAGAGGCUUCCACAUGGGAGAACAUGGAUCAAUUCAAUGGCAAAAAUGCGGAGACUCUCAUUGAAAUGUCCCCCGCGGGGGAUGAAACAGGAGAUAUUGCUGUUAUCACUGGUAUCGCAGGUGAAUCGCCAGGGGAAGAUAACGGACCUUACUAUGAUCCUUCCAACAGUAGCCGAGAAGGAGAAAUCCCUGGCAAUUCAGAGGUGCUAAGCACAACAACAGAGACUGCAUCUCUCAUCCAUGGUCCGACAAAGGUGAUGCAGAGAAAACAUUUGCUCUUCGUGAAUAGACGUUUCAGGAUUGACAAGCAGAUCCACAGCAAAGACUCUGUUUUCUUCUGCGAUGGAGUCAGAAGAAUUGACUUCAUCCUUUCCUAUGUGGAUGAUCCUAAAGAUGCCGAAAAGAAAAUGGAGAGAAGAAAAGAGUUUGAGAUGAAUCUUAUGAAGACAGGCCUUGAACUGGAAACUGAAAAUAAGGAUGAUUCAGAAGACGGGAAAACGUACUUCACGAAGAUUCAUGCUCCUUGGGAUGUUUUGGCCACCUAUGCAGAGGUUAUGCACAUUAAAGUGCCUAUUAAAGAAAACGAUAUUCCCCAAGCGAGAGAGAACCCAUUUGACUGGUUGUUGAAACCAUUUCGACUGAAUCCAGCAAUAAUAAACCCUGAACCAGAUUACUUCACGGCACCUUUCAGUAAACAGCGGCAGGAGCUUUUCCUCAUUAAUGACCAAGAGACUUUCUUCUCGCCCUCGACUCGCAACCGGAUUGUGUAUUACAUUCUCUCUCGAUGCAAGUAUGCGACAGAAGAUGGGAAGAGGAAAUUUGGGAUUAAGAGAUUACUCAACAAUGGCACAUACACGGCUGCUUUCCCACUUCAUGACUGCAGGUACUGGAAGAAAUCUCAUGAUCCCAAGAGUGAGAAUGAACGAUACACGUUAUAUAAAGAGUGGGCACGCUUUGGUCGAUUCUAUAAGGAGCAGCCCCUGCACCUCAUCAGGAAAUACUAUGGAGAGAAGAUUGGAAUAUAUUUUGCCUGGCUUGGUUUUUACACAGAAAUGCUGGGGAUUGCAGGUGCCGUUGGUUUCAUUUGCUUUCUGUAUGGCUGCAUAACUAAGGAUGGAAACAUAUGGAGUGAAGAAAUUUGUGAUGCUGAACUUGGAGGGAAGAUUAUCAUGUGUCCCUUGUGUUAUGAUUGCGACUUCUGGAGACUGAAUACUACCUGUGAAUCGACCAAGAAUUCUCACCUGUUUGACAACGCUGCCACCUUGUUUUUUGCAGUUUUUAUGGGCAUCUGGGUUACUCUCUUUCUGGAGCUGUGGAAGCGGCGACAGGCGAAACUGGAAUAUGAGUGGGACCUUGUGGACUUUGAAGAGGAGCAGCAACAACUUCAGAUACGCCCAGAGUAUGAGGCAAAGUGCAAGCACUACAAGAAAAACCCAGUUACGCAGGAACCGGAGCCUUACAUCCCGAUAUCAGACCAGGCGUUACGCUCUUGUGUGUCUGGAGCUACGGUUUUGUUUUGGAUUUUUUUAAUCCUGAUCUGUAUCAUUGCGGUUAUCGUGUACCGCCUCUCGAUGUAUGCCACCUUUGCCAAGAUCACGGUGAACAUGGAGAAGGUCAGGUACAUUGGCACUUUCUUCACACCUCAGAUGGCAACCUCGGUCACAGCGUCCGUCCUGAACUUUAUCAUCAUCAUGAUUCUAAACUAUUUCUACGAGAGGGUGGCAAUCUGGAUCACAGAUCUUGAGAUCCCCAGGACUCACUUGGAGUAUGAGAACCGGUUGACCAUGAAAAUGUUCCUCUUCCAGUUCGUUAACUACUAUUCCUCCUGCUUCUAUGUUGCCUUCUUCAAAGGGAAGUUCAUUGGUCACCCUGGGGACUAUAACCGUCUGUUUGGGAUAUGGCGAAAUGAAGAGUGUGACCCAGGUGGCUGUCUCAUUGAGCUGACAACACAGCUUACCAUUAUUAUGGCCGGUAAGCAAAUCUGGGGCAAUAUCCAGGAAUCGUUUUUGCCCUGGGUGAAAAACUGGUGGGUGAGUCGGAAUGCCAGGCACCAUCCAGAGAGACUGUACUCUCGUUGGGAGCAGGACCACGAUUUACAGGAUAUGGGGCAACUUGGCCUUUUCUAUGAAUAUCUAGAAAUGGUUAUCCAGUUUGGGUUUGUCACUCUCUUUGUGGCCUCAUUUCCUCUGGCACCAGUUCUUGCUCUGCUCAACAACAUUAUCGAAAUCCGUGUGGAUGCCUGGAAGUUCAUCACACAGUUCAAGAGACCCAUGGCAGCAAAGGCUCACAGUAUAGGAAUAUGGCACCAGAUUCUGAACGGUGUGGCCGUUUUCUCUGUGGUUACAAAUGCUUUCAUUGUGGCUUUUACCUCAGAUAUGAUUCCCCGUUUAGUUUACAUGUAUGCUUAUUCUGAAAAUCCUCGACUACCCAUGCAAGGCUACAUCAACAACAGUCUGUCAAUCGCCAGCGUUUCAAAGAUACACCCCAACUUGGAAAGAAAUUCAGAAAUCCUCACUUGCCGGUAUAAGGAUUAUCGUUACCCUGCAGGACAUCCAUCAGAGUAUAAGCACAACAUGCAGUUCUGGCAUAUCUUGGCUGCAAAAAUGGCAUUCAUUAUCAUCUUAGAGCAUGUUGUUUUCCUGGUCAAGUUUGCAAUCGCUGCACUGAUUCCGGAUGUCCCGAGUGAGGUGAAAGCUCGGAUAAAACGGGAGAAGUAUUUAACGCAGAAGAUUUUGCACGAGUAUGAGCUCAAUAAACUGAGAGAGACACUUGCUGGCUCAGGGAAUUGUGCUGGAAACAAGGAAGUCUCCGUGCAGGCAGAAAAGGUGGAACUGCUGAGCGAGCAGUUAUAGUCCAGCUUUAAAACGCAGCGAGAAAGGACUCAUGUGUCUGCCAUGGUAAAGCAAAUUGAUUUGUUUAUUUGGCGAGGAACGGCCUGCUAUGACGACAGUUCCAGCAGUGGCGAAGUUGCUGCAACUAAUUACGAUGCUGCUGUCAAGUUGUUGAGCUAAUGCUUUUGGUGCAGCAACAGUUGAGAGUGGUUUUCUAACCUGGCAAUUAACAGUUCCUGUUGUCUCCCUGGCUGUGCCAUUCCUUUGACGUAUGAACACUUCUAUUGUUGUCAAGGAAACACUGACUGUUAAACCGUCCAAAACAUUACUGACCUGUUGAAAAGCUCACAUAUAGGAUAAUGAAGAAUGUCAAGAUAUCAGUUAUAAAUCUAUGUUAAACCUUAUCUGAUCUAGAAUGAGAACCAAUGCAAUCUUGUGAUCAGGUGCAAUGUUUUUUGGUUUGACUCCUUUGGUUGUUGACUCCAUCAUAUUUGCUUUAUCUUCUCUCGGCCGCUCCUUUUCUGUCUCUUGUCUCUUUUUAUUCCUUCGCCGCCUUUUCUCUUCCAUCUACCUUCAUCAGACCGACAGUACUGUCUGUAACAUAAUGAAACAAAACUUACACAAAAUAACUUACAAAGUAAAGUCAUGUUCUAUGAAAUCUAAAGUGGAAACUACUGUGAGACACCAAUGCACAUAGUGUAACUACUGAAAUCUCAAUGACCCAUUCACACAGGAAAUGUCUGGGCAGAUUGCUAUAAGAAAAGACUUCUUUGUGUCAAAGAUAUGGUUGUUCAAAAUUCUUAACUUUAUGCACAUGCUGAAUAAAAAAGCCAUCAGUUUAUUGUAAUACCGCCACAGCUAAAUGCUACACACCUCUUUAUUGCUACAAUGUUGGAUCGUGCUCUAGUUUCAAUGACAAGUCAAGAAAUAUGCAAUUAGUUUAGAAUCAAAAUUUACACUCGGAGGUUGCAUUAAAACCUUCUUUGAAAGAUGUUUUAAAGAGGUGGCUGUUUGGAGUGCAGAAUAGGUGUGGAGUGAGUGUGUUCUAAUCACAGAUGUCCCAACCUGUGCCAGCAGACAAAUGGACGUUCAAAAAGCCGAUCCUGCAGCAAUAACAUGCUAUGAUGACAUAAAGAGACAUCAAAGAAGGAUAUUCUUAAACAGCCUAGACACGUUGGCCACCUGCCAAUGCCCAGUGUGUCUUGAAAGUGGAGCUAGAUUGAAGCUGUGAAAUACCAGUGUAGCGGGCAGUUAACUGGCUUCAAUCGGCCAAAGAGCAGGCAUCCUAGAGGGCAACGUAUUCCCUCCUUUGUAUUAUGGGAUCGGGAUGGGUGGGAAGGAGGUGGGAUGGGCACUCGGCAUAUUUUGUAUGCACGCCCCCCCCCCCUACCAAAAACAUGCCUGACAUAAAAUCUACCCCAUGGUGUCUGGAGGUAAGGUCCCUCCAGCGAGCUUCUGAGACUGGGCUGACAUGGUGCCAUUCCCCGUUCCCCAAGAACUUUUCCUUCCUGAAAGCCCAGAGAUGGACCGAAAGGUCAGCAGGGUUGGGGGGAGACCCCCACCCUCCCAUGUGGUAUCACGGAGGCAGCUCACAGAGAUCGUACGUUACCCAAACGUAGGCUCACCAAGGUGCGAAUGAAAACGACCUUUUCUCUGAAAAACAAAAUAAAUUCACAAACAUAAGCAUGGGGAGCCUGAUCCACCAUUUAAUAAAAUCAUAUCUGAUCUAAUCGUAAGCCCCAAUACUCUUCCCUCACUCCCCCCAACACACUUGCUUAUCAAAAAAACUAUUCACGGCUGCCUUAAAAAUAUAUUAAAACUCUGUUUCCAGAGAGUUCCAAAGACUCUUGACCCACUUUGAGAAAAAAAAACCUUUUGUCUCAUCUCUGUUUUAAUUGGACUAUGGCUUCUUGAAGACAUUGAUCUUUAGUUCUAAAUUCUCCCAUGAGAUUCUAAAUUCUAUCAACAUUUAUCCUCAGGAUCUUAUAGGUUUCAAUCGAAUUUCUUAUUCUGAACCCCAGCCAACACAGGCCUAGCUUGCCCAAUCUUACCUCAUGCGACAACCCAUCCAAUUCAGCUUUUAAAGCUGAUAAACAAAAACAGAAAUUGCUGCAAAGACUCAACAGGUCUGGCAACAUCUGGGGAGAGAAAAAGCGAUGCUUCAGGUUCACUGACCCUUAUUCAAAAAGUUCUGAAGGGUCACUGGACCCGAAACAUUAACGUUGCUUUCUCUCCCGAGAUGCUGCCAGACCUGCUGAGUUUUCCCAGCAAUUUCUGUUUUUGUUUCUGAUUUCCAGCAUCUGCAGUUUUUGUUUGAUUAGGCUGAUUAACCCUUCUCUGAGUUAUUUCUGAUGUAUUCUGGUAUGACUGUUAUUUUGUAAAUAGGAAGAGUGCAUUGAGUAGUAACUAGUCCAAUAGACCAGGGGAAGGUUUUCUUUGUUGCGACCUGUGAAUGGGCCAUAUGUAAAAUAGAGGAUCAGAUUGUGAUUAUUCCCAGGUCAGUACGGUCUUAAUGAAAGGAAAAUAGUUGUUGGCAAAGCGUAUUUUUCACACACUAAAUCCAUGCUUUAAGUUAUCUGGCACAAUGUGUUCACUUUAACAUUGUUUUAUUUUUAAGGCCUGCAUUUCUUCUGAUUUACAUUCACAAUCCUGGUAUCACAUAGUUGUCCCCUAAUCUCCAGCCUAACCUGAUGCAGUUACAUCCCCAUGCUUGCUUCCCCCUGGCUUUACUUCCUUCGCCUUUGUGGUGGGUCUUGUCCCCUGUUUGCCCCCAAACCACUUUUCAUCCCUCUCCUGGCUUGCCAUCUCUGUUCCCCAUCGCCCCCUUCACCCCCUCAUAAUCUUGCCUUUGUCUGCCUCUUGGGCCACUCAGUUCACCAUUCCCCCACACCGCCUGUAGGUUCCAAACUUGUCCUGAUGGGCUCCAUUUACUGGUGGAAGUUGGUGGGCUCUCUGCACUGACUAUCCUCCACGAUUGGAUGGCACCUUGUCAAUCUAAGGUACUGUAUUUUAAGAAUAUUUUGAACAAUACUGUAUUGUACUGUACAGAUCUUGAUUUUCUUUAUAUUCUGUGUUCUAUUUUAGUUUGCAAGUUAUUUCAGCUGUGAAUGUACAGUGCUGUGCAUGUAUGGUACAAUAUUUCAACAUGUUUUUUGUUUUGGGCUAAAAAGAAAUUGCCCAAAGGAACCUAACUCAGACUUUAACAUUGGCUCCCAUAGGAAUCAAUGAUUCACUUAAGGUUGUUUCACUUAAAGUUAUGAGUUUAAGGGACGUAAUCAGAGUUUUAAGUGAGGACUUGCUGUACAAACUUCUAGGAGGUGUGCUUCCACAUUAAUCCAGUCAGAGUUCUAGUUUCCUCAGAGACUUGCACAAAGUCGAAGUAGAAAUGUGUUCAUCUAGUCCCCAGUUUCAAUCACUUUUUUUUCCAAAGACCAUAAUCUUUAAAAACUGACUUCAGGUCAUAGGCAAUUGCCAAGCACAGAAUUCUUUUUAAAUAUAUAAUGCAGUUUUAAUUUUAAGUCUUUUUGAUUGCAGUAAAGCCAGUACCAGUGGAAAAUGUCUAUUAGAGGACACCGUACAAGCCACACUUAAGUAAAAAACAGUCGUUGCUGAAAACUCGGGCUGUGCAGUUUUGAUGAGAGGAGUGAGGAGAUGGACUGACCAAUGUCAGUGGCACAGAUGUGGCUAUCCACCACUAUGUUGGUGUCAUGUUUGACUGAGUCUCCUGCUGUAGAUCAUUAGGAGGAUCUUUAUCAAGACAUUGCACCCUAGUAAAGGCAAGAAUGUGAAGUGCACUGGCUGUAACCUGGGCACCAUUGCCUCCUCGAAGUUGCUGGUUAAAUUUAACAUUCAUUCCCAUUUUGCGGGGGCGGUGAGUGGUGACCCUCGUUCAUGGACUCAGGGCUAGCACUGAGCUUUUCACCCAACCAGCUGAUCUGCCAUGGGGGGUUUUUGACCGUGAGCAUCUGUAAGAAAAUUGGUAGGAACUGAGAGCUAAGGACAUGUUUUCCGCUGUUGGCAAAGUUGGCAUAGUGGACACAUCUAACCGUAACCCAUCUUGUGGCAAACCAGGGAGCAGAGAAGUGAACCAGUGACUGGUAUCCCCAAGUAAGGUUGUUUCCACUUUUCUCCAUAUUCACAGGAACUGGGAGUGGGGAGUGAAGUUGU